UUGCACCUGAUGGCGAGUGGCGAACGGGUGAGUAAUGCAUCGGAACGUGCCCAGUCGUGGGGGAUAACGCAGCGAAAGCUGUGCUAAUACCCCAUACGAUCUAUGGAUGAAAGCGGGGGACCUUCGGGCCUCGCGCGAUUGGAGCGGCCGAUGUUAGAUUAGGUAGUUGGUGGGGUAAAGGCUCACCAAGCCAACGAUCUAUAGCUGGUCUGAGAGGACGACCAGCCACACUGGAACUGAGACACGGUCCAGACUCCUACGGGAGGCAGCAGUGGGGAAUUUUGGACAAUGGGCGAAAGCCUGAUCCAGCAAUACCGCGUGCAGGAAGAAGGCCCUCGGGUUGUAAACUGCUUUUGUACGGAACGAAACGGCGCGCUCUAAUAAAGUGCGCUAAUGACGGUACCGUAAGAAUAAGCACCGGCUAACUACGUGCCAGCAGCCGCGGUAAUACGUAGGGUGCAAGCGUUAAUCGGAAUUACUGGGCGUAAAGCGUGCGCAGGCGGUUUUGUAAGACAGGCGUGAAAUCCCCGGGCUCAACCUGGGAAUUGCGCUUGUGACUGCAAGGCUAGAGUACGGUAGAGGGGGGUAGAAUUCCGCGUGUAGCAGUGAAAUGCGUAGAUAUGCGGAGGAACACCGAUGGCGAAGGCAGCCCCCUGGACCUGUACUGACGCUCAUGCACGAAAGCGUGGGGAGCAAACAGGAUUAGAUACCCUGGUAG
RNAcentral lists this ribosomal RNA (718 nucleotides) under uncultured Hydrogenophaga sp. Its description in RNAcentral is "bacterial SSU rRNA". It matches the Rfam family "Bacterial small subunit ribosomal RNA", at positions 79 to 793 of the family's 1533-position model. Lineage: Bacteria; Pseudomonadati; Pseudomonadota; Betaproteobacteria; Burkholderiales; Comamonadaceae. The record is from RNAcentral.